This 515-nucleotide small RNA is filed under the name Spisula solidissima (Atlantic surf clam). RNAcentral describes it as "cnRNA219". Lineage: Eukaryota; Metazoa; Mollusca; Bivalvia; Venerida; Mactridae. The record is from RNAcentral.
CAAUCACUCANUUNAUACNGAANUCCCNCAAUCACUCACUUNAUACAGAANUCCNNCAAUCACUCACUUAAUACAGRACUCCCACARUCACUCACUUAAUACAGAACUCCCACAAUCACUCACUUAAUACAGAACUCCCACNAUCACUCACUUAAUACAGAACUCCCACAAUCACUCACUUAAUACAGAACUCCCACAAUCACUCAYUUAAUACAGAACUCCCACAAUCACUCACUUAAUACAGAACUCCCACAAUCACUCACUUAAUACAGAACUCCCACAAUCACUCACUUAAUACAGAACUCCCACAAUCACUCACUUAAUACAGAACUCCCACAAUCACUCACUUAAUACAGAACUCCMACAAUCACUCACUUANUACAGAACUCCCACAAUCACUCACUUAAUACAGAACUCCCACNAUCACUCACUUAAUACNGAACUCCCACNAUCACUCACUUAAUACNGAACUCCCACAAUCACUCACUUNAUACNGAACUCCCACAAUCACUCAC